UUAAGGUCAAGUAACAGUAAAUGAACGCCGUCUAGCGGAUUCCGCGAAAUAUUGCGACGUUUUGUACGAAUUACGUCCCUUUGACCAGAUUUUGCAAUGUUAAAAUUGCACCCGGCGACUUUUCGAUGGGACAACGUCAACGGUAAAUUUGACGGAAAGUAUGUUACUUCUAUGAGAAUGAAAUUGUUUUUUCUAAAAUUAAAAAUUGAAAAUGAAUAUGAAAACAGUCAUGAAGACGAUCUUCAAAAUGAAAAUCAGGUGUUUGACUGGCGUCAGGGACGUAGGAUGGUAGAGUUUGUAUAUCUGCCGACCAGUUAAAACAAGUGUGAAAACUGUUGCUCACUACUAUUUCUACAUAAUUGUGAUGAGAAAAAACAGUGUGGUCUCGGAAGUAUUCUUUAUGUAGUAUGUCAAAACUGUCCUUACAAAAACCCUAUAUUCACUGGGAAAAGACAUCGUCUAGCAGAAAAUAAGCAGAAGGGGGUGAAAGUUUGGGACAUUAAUACUAAAGUUAAAACUUAGUAUUGUACGGUAAGACUAUAUAUCCCAUAUUUUGAAAAUUAUCACACCAGUCGGAACAAGUAAAAAUAUAUUCAAAUUAGGGAAAAGAAAAUGAACCACAUAAACUAAUACUGGUCAUAAAUUCGCCGCUGCUGUCAGUCAGUCAAAGAUAUGGCACUAAACUAUAAUGCACUUAAAUUAAUUAACCUUGUUGGAACAAUAGUUUAAUAUUCAUACACAGUUAUUAGACUUAAACAAAUUAAAAAUAAACAAAAAUGAUGUUUCAUGAUCAUUAAUCCAUCGCUACAUUUUGUAUUCUAACGUUGUUUUUUUUUUUGUAAUGGUGUUUUCUUUCACGUCCGCAAUUUCGAUGUUAAAAAUAGAACACAAAUCUUUAAAUAGAUACAUGUAUAAAUAGUAUAUGGUUUGAAGAUUUAUACAUGGCUUAGUAUCCUAAUAGUAUUGAUUCGUAUGGUUGUCUCCUCAAAGGAAAUUGUUAUAUAUAUAUAUAUGGGUAAAAAUUAACCGAAUAAAAAAAAAAUGUACCCUAGCUGAAAGUAGCAUCUCAAAUAUAAAAUAGAACUGUUCUCAUUUCUAUUUCACUCAUAAAACUGGAAGGGGUCCUGAUACCGAAAUCCCGGACUUAAAAACAUGAAAUCCCCAGGUCCCGAAUUUAUAGAAAUUUGAAUUCCACCUUCCCGAAAUUCGAAAAAAAUAGCCGGACCCAGAAAGGAUCAAUCCCGAAAUCCCGUGCUUAAAAACACCCGAUCCCGGAGUCCCGUUAAAGGUCCCCCCUCAUUUGUGUAGUUGUACUAAAUAACAAAACACAAUAUUUCCAGUCAUGUCUCAGCCUGUGUGCGAUUGUUUUUUUUUUUUUUUUUUUUUUUGGGGGGGGGUGUUUUUUUGUAGGCAUAUUAAACAUAAAUAUGUACAUCUGUUUUUAUGUCAUAUCUCAACCUCCGUAUGUUUGGUUUCCUUGGAAAUGUUUUUACACGAUGUAUUUUCUGGAAAAUACACUGUACUACAAAGACCGUGCAAUGUCUUGAGAGAAAGCGAAAUUCAGAGAGAGAAGCACAUUAAUUUAUUGUCACAUAUAAUUAGAUCUCAAAGGGAGUUGCAGAAUAACGGAUACUGGCGAAUGUCAAAAUUGAACAAAAAAGUUUGCAAAAUUAUAAAGAAUAACAACGGAAAAUAAAAUAAUUAUUUAAUAUAAUAGUGUAGACCAUGUACAGAAUUAAGAAAUCA
RNAcentral lists this long non-coding RNA (1746 nucleotides) under Mytilus galloprovincialis (Mediterranean mussel). Lineage: Eukaryota; Metazoa; Mollusca; Bivalvia; Mytilida; Mytilidae. The record is from RNAcentral.